Molecule: microRNA precursor, 75 nt
Filed under: Callithrix jacchus (white-tufted-ear marmoset)
Lineage: Eukaryota; Metazoa; Chordata; Mammalia; Primates; Cebidae
Description: mir-320 microRNA precursor family
Rfam family: mir-320 microRNA precursor family
Source: Rfam by way of RNAcentral
UAAGGGUUAUAGCUUCUCUUCCUGGUUCUUCCUGGAGUUGGAAAAGCUGGGUUGAGAGGGUUUAAAAAAAAAGGG